AGCGAAUAGAUACCCGGGUAGUCCCAGCUGUAAACGAUGCAGACUCGGUGAUGAGUUGGCUACAUGCCAUCUCAGUGCCGCAGGGAAGCCGUUAAGUUUGCCGCCUGGGGAGUACGGUCGCAAGACUGAAACUUAAAGGAAUUGGCGGGGAGCACCACAAGGGUGAAGCCUGCGGUUCAAUUGGUAGUCAACGCCGGAAACUACUUACCGGGGGUCGGACAGCAGUGUGAAGGUCAAGCUGAAGACUUUACCUACGACAAGCUGAGAGGAGGUGCAUGGCCGUCGCCAGCUCGUGCCGUGAGGUGUCCUGUUAAGUACA
This 319-nucleotide ribosomal RNA is filed under the name uncultured bacterium. Its description in RNAcentral is "bacterial SSU rRNA". It matches the Rfam family "Archaeal small subunit ribosomal RNA", at positions 723 to 1036 of the family's 1478-position model. The record is from RNAcentral.